UUCCUCAAUCGAGUGGCGAACGGGUGAGUAACGCGUGAGGAACCUGCCUCAAAGAGGGGGACAACAGUUGGAAACGACUGCUAAUACCGCAUAAGCCCACGGCUCGGCAUCGAGCAGAGGGAAAAGGAGCAAUCCGCUUUGAGAUGGCCUCGCGUCCGAUUAGCUAGUUGGUGAGGUAACGGCCCACCAAGGCAACGAUCGGUAGCCGGACUGAGAGGUUGAACGGCCACAUUGGGACUGAGACACGGCCCAGACUCCUACGGGAGGCAGCAGUGGGGAAUAUUGCACAAUGGGGGAAACCCUGAUGCAGCGACGCCGCGUGGAGGAAGAAGGUCUUCGGAUUGUAAACUCCUGUUGUUGAGGAAGAUAAUGACGGUACUCAACAAGGAAGUGACGGCUAACUACGUGCCAGCAGCCGCGGUAAAACGUAGGUCACAAGCGUUGUCCGGAAUUACUGGGUGUAAAGGGAGCGCAGGCGGGAAGACAAGUUGGAAGUGAAAUCCAUGGGCUCAACCCAUGAACUGCUUCAAAA
Molecule: ribosomal RNA, 532 nt
Filed under: uncultured bacterium
Lineage: Bacteria
Description: bacterial SSU rRNA
Rfam family: Bacterial small subunit ribosomal RNA
Source: RNAcentral